CUACGGGAGGCAGCAGUGGGGAAUAUUGGACAAUGGGCGAAAGCCUGAUCCAGCAAUGCCGCGUGAGUGAUGAAGGCCUUAGGGUUGUAAAGCUCUUUUACCCGGGAUGAUAAUGACAGUACCGGGAGAAUAAGCCCCGGCUAACUC
RNAcentral lists this ribosomal RNA (147 nucleotides) under alpha proteobacterium CB1. Its description in RNAcentral is "partial 16S ribosomal RNA". It matches the Rfam family "Bacterial small subunit ribosomal RNA", at positions 339 to 503 of the family's 1533-position model. Lineage: Bacteria; Pseudomonadati; Pseudomonadota; Alphaproteobacteria. The record is from RNAcentral.